UUAAAGAAUCUGUUAAGCUCAGGAGGGAUAGCGCCAUGGAUGGUCUUCUCUUGCUCCAUUUAUUUGGUUUGCAUUUUAUUUUGAUCUUCUAUUGCGCUAUCCAUCCUGAGUUUCAUGGGUUUUUCAC
This is a microRNA precursor of Lupinus angustifolius (narrow-leaved blue lupine), 127 nucleotides long. It matches the Rfam family "MIR390 microRNA precursor family". NCBI's taxonomy places the organism in Eukaryota, Viridiplantae, Streptophyta, Magnoliopsida, Fabales, Fabaceae. The record is from Rfam.